Molecule: long non-coding RNA, 1962 nt
Organism: Papaver somniferum (opium poppy)
Lineage: Eukaryota; Viridiplantae; Streptophyta; Magnoliopsida; Ranunculales; Papaveraceae
Exons: 6
Source: RefSeq, a predicted model, not a curated record
CUUAGAGUACUAAUUUGUUCUUAUUUCAUUUCUUCACUCUUUCAUCGGCAAUGAAACCUAGCGCGAAGAACCAGAAUUCUCCCAUUUCUCUUUAAUAUGGAAUGGAAGCGACGAGAAAUCUUUCAUUUCUUCGUAUCUUCAUCAAUUUUCUUACCUUAUAUCAGUUAUUCUUCAUUCAAUUUACAAAAAUCUUAGAUUCUCGGUGUUAAUGAAGUUCGCUGAAAUGUAAAUUCCAGGAGUAAGUUUAGUUGUAACUAACCGACGGAGAACGAAGAAGAUAUGAUUGGAUCUCUUAAUAAACGUUGUAGCAGGAAACAUAGAGAACAUUAUUAGGGCACUAGGACUGCAUAAGGAAAGAGCAGAAACAAUUCAGUGCUUCUCUUCUGAUUCUUUGGCGGAUGUCUGGACCCACCUAAUCCGAUGGUGUUUGCAAGUCCCAUUAGCUGGCGGAAAUGGGUAUAUGUUGUUGAUGCAUAUGCAAUAUUCUGCACAGGAAAGUGGAUCAAGUAAACCCCGAAGAUCAUAUGUUGAAUAAAUACUGGGAAUGACUUGGUAAAGAGUCGUGAAACAAGUUAAAGAGUCAGAUGCAGAAGUAUUGACUGAGAUUGGUCAUAGGACCAUCAUAACUCUGAGCUUGUGGUAUUGAAGCGUGCAAGAAUGGCACUGCAAGAGCACAUAAGAAGAUGAAAGAUGCAAAAUAUUAUGCUCUGCCUCGUUAUAAUUAUUCAAGGUAAAGACAGAGAUGAACUUCAGUUACAGUGCGAGCCCUCCAUCAAUGCCUCACAUGCAUGUCCACAGAAUAGCAUUGUGGUUGAGCUGUGAUUAUCUUAUGGUUCUGUUUCAGUCUGGAAUGUAGGAGAGGUGAGUGGACUAAACUUGAUUUUUUCUGCUUUCUUUUAAUUCACCUUCUUUUACGUUUUAAAACUUCACAUGAAGGAGAAUUCUGCAACUAUGAAGAAGGAAAAGCAAGCUUAUAGGAGCAGUGAUGUAGUUAGACCUCAGUUUGAGUCUAACCUUACCUCUAAAGUCAUGACAUCAAGGCCAGAGUACAAUCAAAUCCUUGUGAAGAUUCCUGGGUAGUGACUUCCGGGGAAAUUUUGUAAAAACAUCCUUCUUAAACAGUUUUUCAUUUAUGUGCAGAUAUGUAACAUUUUACAUGUUUAUAUUGAUGCGUUGUUGAAUUUUAACCAACCAGAUGUCGGUCUCCUCCAAGAUUUGAAUGAGGUCUUAUCUUUUUGUUCAUGCCAUGGCUUUUUUUGAGUAUUGCACUACUGUCGACUGUCUAGUAGUGCUCUUAGUCAAGGUUUUUAAACUACAUAAGCUCCAUAUCCGAUAUCUUUUUUGAGUAUUGCACUACUGUCGACUGUCUCUAAUAUUACAUAUGCAGAGUACGUGUGUACGUAGUUGUCCUGUUGAUUGUUACCGUGUGCUUAGCUGUACAAAUGCUAAUUAUUAGCGGUAAAUAACUGUAUUAUACCUUUUGCGCCAUUGACAUCAAUAAUUUUUUUUCCCUUCUGUUUUAUGUAUUAGAGAGUCAUAAGCUCAAAAUGGGAGAGUGCCCAAGCCUACCACAAGGGUUUGCGGAGGUUGAUGGUUCAAAUCCAUCUGAGUUUCAACAUGUGUAUCGCUACCGGUGUUUAGACAUGUACACAGUUGUACACUUUAUCUUGUCUCAUCAGUAUAUGGCAUGGUUUGUUAGUGCGGAUGUUGAAUUUUCUGAAUUCUCGUAGAUGUGGACAUAGCAGUACAACAUUGUCCUGUCUCAUGGAUAUAUUGCUGAGUAUGAAUAUGCUGGACUUGACUUUUGCAGAUGUGUACAUACUACAUAGUAAUAUACCAGUGUAAAUUAAAAAAAAAUUAAAAAAUGAAUAUUAUAUGGUCAUAUGGGUACUUUUUUUGUACAUCUCGGAAAGAGCUUUCCGAAUAUAUAAAGUUUACAAAUUUUGGACGAGCGGUUUGAAA